ACGGGGGGUGCGAGCGUUAUUCGGAAUUACUGGGCGUAAAGAGCGCGUAGGCGGUCUUUUAAGUCAGGUGUGAAAGCCCGGGGCUCAACCCCGGAAGUGCACUUGAAACUAAGAGACUUGAGUAUGGGAGAGGGAAGUGGAAUUCCUGGUGUAGCGGUGAAAUGCGUAGAUAUCAGGAGGAACAUCGGUGGCGAAGGCGACUUCCUGGACCAAUACUGACGCUGAGGCGCGAAGGCGUGGGGAGCAAACAGG
This 252-nucleotide ribosomal RNA is filed under the name uncultured bacterium. RNAcentral's name for it is "partial 16S ribosomal RNA". It matches the Rfam family "Bacterial small subunit ribosomal RNA", at positions 525 to 776 of the family's 1533-position model. The record is from RNAcentral.